Uloborus diversus is the source of this 432-nucleotide long non-coding RNA. RefSeq lists it as uncharacterized. The transcript has 5 exons. NCBI's taxonomy places the organism in Eukaryota, Metazoa, Arthropoda, Arachnida, Araneae, Uloboridae. The record is from RefSeq and is a predicted model, not a curated record.
GAAAAACAGAUAAUAGAUCUAGAAGCAUCUCUUAUAUCAAGUUUGAAAGUAAUUAAAAAUCCCGUGGAAAUAACUGGAAUGAAAAAUGCUGCAAUCAAAGAUUCAGUUGCAAUUAUUGGUUUUCUUGCUAUGCUGGAAAGUGAAGUCACAAAAGAGAACAACAACUGAAUCAAGGUGAAAGCUUUGAAACUAUUUCUGCCUUCGGACCUAAUGCAGCUGUAAUACAUUAUUCUCCUGAGACUUUUACGAAUCGAGAUAUUAAUAAGAAUUCAUUGUACCUUUUAGAUUCUGGAGGCCAAUACUUAGAUGGCACUACGGAUAUAACUAGAACUUUACAUUUUGGAGAACCAUCUGAUUUUGAAAUGGAAACUUACACUAGAGUUUUGAUGGGUGUUAUUGAUUUAAUAACUGUAGUCUUUCCUGAUGGUACUA